Molecule: small nucleolar RNA, 198 nt
Organism: Apodemus sylvaticus (European woodmouse)
Lineage: Eukaryota; Metazoa; Chordata; Mammalia; Rodentia; Muridae
Product: small nucleolar RNA SNORA73 family
Exons: 1
Source: RefSeq, a predicted model, not a curated record
UCAAAAUGGAUACCUUGGGAAGUUAUUCUGCUUUAGUUUGUCCUAAUAUCAGAGGGGAGCAUAGGGCUCUGCCCAAUGAUAUACAGGCCCUUUCUACAACAUUGAAAAUGAAACUGGGUUCUGAGUCUGUGCUAUUCCUAUGGUUUUUCAGGAGACUGUGAGCAAUAACUAAGGAGAUAAGCUAUGCAGGAAACGUUC